This 437-nucleotide ribosomal RNA is filed under the name uncultured Saccharofermentans sp. RNAcentral's name for it is "partial 16S ribosomal RNA". It matches the Rfam family "Bacterial small subunit ribosomal RNA", at positions 341 to 792 of the family's 1533-position model. Lineage: Bacteria; Bacillati; Bacillota; Clostridia; Eubacteriales; Oscillospiraceae. The record is from RNAcentral.
ACGGGAGGCAGCAGUGGGGAAUAUUGGGCAAUGGGCGAAAGCCUGACCCAGCGACGCCGCGUGAAGGAAGAAGAUCUUCGGAUUGUAAACUUCUGUCAACAGGGAAGAAAUAAAUGACGGUACCUGUAGAGGAAGCCACGGCUAACUACGUGCCAGCAGCCGCGGUAAUACGUAGGUGGCGAGCGUUAUCCGGAUUUACUGGGUGUAAAGGGUGUGUAGGCGGCCAAGCAAGUCAGAUGUGAAACCUGAGGGCUUAACCUUCAGCUUGCAUUUGAAACUACAUGGCUUGAGAGUCGGAGGGGUAAUCGGAAUUCCCGGUGUAGAGGUGAAAUUCGUAGAUAUCGGGAGGAACACCAGUGGCGAAGGCGGAUUACUGGACGACCACUGACGCUGAGACACGAAAGCGUGGGGAGCAAACAGGAUUAGAUACCCUGGUA